Molecule: non-coding RNA, 1037 nt
Organism: Pelobates cultripes (western spadefoot toad)
Lineage: Eukaryota; Metazoa; Chordata; Amphibia; Anura; Pelobatidae
Source: the annotation of a GenBank genome assembly
CUGGUGUCUCAGUGUCCCCAUGUCUCCCAGUGCCCCCAUGUCUCAAUGUCCCCAUGUCCCCCAGCCAGUGUCUCUAGUGUCUGUGUCCCUGGUGUCUUCAAGUGUCCCCUAUUUUCCCAUUGUCCCCAUGUGUCCUAGCCAGAGUCCCCUAGUCUCCCAGUGUCACUGGUCUCUCCGUGUUCCUAGGUCUCCCCGUGCCCCCAGGUCUCCCCGUCUUCCUAGUGUCCUAGUGACAUGGGGACCCUGGGAUACAUGGGGACACAGGGAGACAUGGAGCAUUCAGACACUGUGAUACAUAGGAUCACUGGGAGACCUGGGGACAUGACACUAGGGGACACUGGGAGACAUGGGGCGCUGAGACACUGAUACAUAGGAACACUGAGAUCUGGAGUAAUCGACACAUGGGGGCACUGAGUCAUGAGGACACUGGGAGGAAUCCAUCUAUACAGCAGAAUCAAACUAAGUAGUUUUUUGGUGAUUUUACAGCAUUUUCUCCUUGUGAUUUACAUCAUGUGAUAUCACCCAUACAUAUUUAAUUAUGCAAAUUAGUAAGGUUGGUAUGUUUUUCCAAGAAAGGUGGAAACCCUAACUACUUUUCACAUACUCUUAUUUAAGUAUGGAAACUUAAGAGGGAUGUAUGGGAACAAACCUUAUGUGGACUGGCUGACAAUGAAUAUAGUUAAAGGGACACUAUAGUCACCAGAACAACUACAGCUUAUGGAAUUUAUUCUGGUGAGUGGAAUCAUUACUGUCAGGCUUUUUGCUGUAAACACUGUCUUUUCAGAGAAAAUGCAGUAUUUACAUUACAGCAUAGUGAUAACUUCACUGGCCACUCCUUAGAUGGCUGUUAGAGAUCCUUCCUGGGUCAUGGCUGCCUAAAAUGCAUCCAAACAUUCAAUGUCUCCUCCCUCUGCAUGCAGACACUGAACUUGAUUAAUUCAAUUCAUCUCUAUAAGGAGAUGCUGAUUUGCCAGGGCUGUGUUUGAAUCAUGCUGGCUCUGACCCUGAUCUGCCUCUUUGUCAGUGUCAGCCAAUCC